This 774-nucleotide ribosomal RNA is filed under the name uncultured Neocallimastigales. Its description in RNAcentral is "partial large subunit ribosomal RNA". It matches the Rfam family "Eukaryotic large subunit ribosomal RNA", at positions 18 to 643 of the family's 3401-position model. Lineage: Eukaryota; Fungi; Neocallimastigomycota; Neocallimastigomycetes; Neocallimastigales. The record is from RNAcentral.
UCAGACGAUGCGUCAUGCAUAUCAAUAAGCGGAGGAAAAGAAACUAACAAGGAUUCCCCUAGUAACGGCGAGUGAAGCGGGAAGAGCUCAAAUUUGAAAUCUUAAAGGGUUUCCCUUUACGAAUUGUAGUUUAAAGAAGUGUUUUCUGUUGAGGUUUUGGUAAAAGUUCUUUGGAAUAGGACAUCAUAGAGGGUGAGAAUCCCGUAUUUGACCUUUACUUUCAACUUUGUGAUACACUUUCAAAGAGUCGGAUUGUUUGGGAAUGCAGUCCAAAAUGGGUGGUAAAUUUCAUCUAAAGCUAAAUAUUGGCGAGAGACCGAUAGCGAACAAGUACCGUGAGGGAAAGAUGAAAAGAACUUUGAAAAGAGAGUUAAACAGUACGUGAAAUUGUCAAAAGGGAAGCGUUUGACACCAGUGUUGUUUUUCUGAAAAUCAAUUAAAGAACUGUUUAUGCUAAGUUGUUUAGACUUUAUCAGCUAUCUGUUUAGUUUUGAGCUUUUCUUUAAUGCACUUUUCAGUUAACAAGUCAACAUCAAUUUCUUUUGCUGUAAAAAAGCUUGAGGAAGGUGGCUUGAGAUUCGUCUUAAGUGUUUAUAGCCUCUUGCCUAUGCAGUCGGAGAGAUUGAGGUCUGCAGCGUAGAUCCUUCGGGGCUAAAUGCAUUUGUGCUAAGUUAUAGCAUUUUAUAGACAACUUGUUGACUAUGAUUUGUCUUGUAACUUACUCGCUUAUGUUAUUUUACCUACGCUUAGGAUGUUGACACACGCGCGUGCUCG